AAUGAAAUUCCUACAAUGUUAAUGCACCAGAUCCCAUUAUAAUUUGGUAGCUAAGCACGCUUUGGCUAGAGUAGUACUGGAAUGAGUGACCUCUCAAGAAGUCCUAGUGUUUUACAUGC
This is a non-coding RNA of Picea glauca (white spruce), 119 nucleotides long. Lineage: Eukaryota; Viridiplantae; Streptophyta; Pinopsida; Pinales; Pinaceae. The record is from Rfam.